AACGAACGCUGGCGGCAGGCCUAACACAAGCAAGUCGAGCGAGGACUUCGGUUCUAGCGGCGGACGGGUGAGUAACGCGUGGGAAUGUGCCCUUCUCUACGGAAUAGCCCUGGGAAACUGGGAGUAAUACCGUAUACGCCCUUUUGGGGAAAGAUUUAUCGGAGAAGGAUCAGCCCGCGUUGGAUUAGGUAGUUGGUGGGGUAAUGGCCUACCAAGCCGACGAUCCAUAGCUGGUUUGAGAGGAUGAUCAGCCACACUGGGACUGAGACACGGCCCAGACUCCUACGGGAGGCAGCAGUGGGGAAUCUUAGACAAUGGGGGCAACCCUGAUCUAGCCAUGCCGCGUGAGUGAUGAAGGCCUUAGGGUUGUAAAGCUCUUUCAGCUGGGAAGAUAAUGACGGUACCAGCAGAAGAAGCCCCGGCUAACUCCGUG
This 433-nucleotide ribosomal RNA is filed under the name uncultured bacterium. RNAcentral describes it as "partial 16S ribosomal RNA". It matches the Rfam family "Bacterial small subunit ribosomal RNA", at positions 29 to 507 of the family's 1533-position model. The record is from RNAcentral.